CAGUAGCCGCGGGAAUACGGAGGAUCCAAGCGUUAUCCGGAAUCAUUGGGUUUAAAGGGUCCGUAGGCGGUCUUGUAAGUCAGUGGUGAAAGCCCAUCGCUCAACGGUGGAACGGCCAUUGAUACUGCAGGACUUGAAUUAUUGGGAAGUAACUAGAAUAUGUAGUGUAGCGGUGAAAUGCUUAGAGAUUACAUGGAAUACCAAUUGCGAAGGCAGGUUACUACCAAUUGAUUGACGCUGAUGGACGAAAGCGUGGGUAGCGAACAGGAUUAGAUACCCCCGUAGUCUCUGUCUCUUAUAC
RNAcentral lists this ribosomal RNA (301 nucleotides) under uncultured bacterium. Its description in RNAcentral is "partial 16S ribosomal RNA". It matches the Rfam family "Bacterial small subunit ribosomal RNA", at positions 509 to 807 of the family's 1533-position model. The record is from RNAcentral.